GUUAACACAGACAGCCCCCCACACCCCACUGUCCGCCAAAGUAGUACAAGUGAAAAACUAGAAACUCAAAGGACUUGGCGGUACCCCACACCAACCUAGAGGAGCCUGUCCCAUAAUCGAUACUCCACGCUAAACCUAACCGACUCUCGACAACCAGCCUAUAUACCGCCGUCGCCAGCCUGCCUAAUGAUAGACACACAGCAGGCACAACAGCCCACGCUAAUACGUCAGGUCAAGGUGUAGCUAAUGAGUCGGGCAAAGAUGGGCUACAUUUUCUAUCCCACAAGAAAACCCACCACACACCCAAUGAAACUUGGGCCCUUAAGGCGGAUUUAGCAGUAAACCGGGUAAGACCUAACCCGAUUGAAGCCUGCUCUGGG
RNAcentral lists this ribosomal RNA (380 nucleotides) under Ptyodactylus oudrii. RNAcentral's name for it is "partial 12S ribosomal RNA". It matches the Rfam family "Bacterial small subunit ribosomal RNA", at positions 875 to 1378 of the family's 1533-position model. The record is from RNAcentral. Lineage: Eukaryota; Metazoa; Chordata; Lepidosauria; Squamata; Phyllodactylidae.